This 1021-nucleotide unclassified non-coding RNA is filed under the name Hevea brasiliensis (rubber tree). The record is from RNAcentral. Lineage: Eukaryota; Viridiplantae; Streptophyta; Magnoliopsida; Malpighiales; Euphorbiaceae.
AAAAGAGGGAUGCUACGAAGUGGCUCGCCAACUGAGUUAGAAUUCCAAGUACAACAAUACAGUCAAAAAGGUAACAAAAAAUAGACCAAUAAACUCAUCAUUUUGGAUGAAGUACAUGGCCACAUUCACAAUCCAGUAAGAACUACCUAUAGAUGAAAGAAAUCUGAGUCAAUACUGUUUUCUCUCUUCUUGUAUGGACUGAAAAAUCCGAGCAACAGAUUCUGUAGCUGAUCGGGCAUUGUGAGGUAUAGCUUUGAUUGCUCGGGCAGGGCGUUCAGGAAAAUGAGGCUGAGGCCGAAGAAUGGGAUUGUCAACAGCUGGAGAAGUUGGGAAGUGAUGAAAUGCACUUCUUCCUCUUGUGGAGUUGCCCAUGUCUACUGCACGAGUUAUUUCACUCGGACUACCCGCUGUGCUGGCGUGCAACUCAGAAUCUCUAGAGGGGUACAAUCUCACAACUUCUGGUAAGGUUCCAUCACUCUCACUCCCAACAUUACUUGAAUUCUGGUGUUGAAUGUUAAAACUAGCUCUCCCUCCUGAUAACUGACCUUUAGAAUGGGAUGCCACAACCUGGUUCGAUUGAUAUUGAGUUGGAGAUGGGAUUGCUGGAUUCGUUACUGGCAUGCCAAAGGGACGAAAGUAGCCAUGACCAGUCGGAGGCGCAAAGGGAAGUCCAUAUGCUGAAGCUAAAAAGUUUCCCGUCAUUGGAGUCGACCCUGGGGGUCCACAACCGCCAUAUACUGGACUCAUGACUGCAGGUCCAGAGUGUGGCUUGUACACGAGUCCUUCAGAAGGAGACAUCAUGGGUAUCAACCAUUGAUGCCCCGGAGGUUGAUUGAAGUACCAAGGACUCAUAAGGGAAUCAUGUUUUACAGGUGUUGGUAGUUGUUUUUCUGAAAGUGGAUUGCAGCUAGAAGGUUGGCGUACUGAAGAAAGAGAUGUCUUUCCUACAUCAUUUUCAGCAUUGCACUCCAUCCUACCUUUAGGUUUCUCUGAAUCAUUCUUGGGUCGCGAAACAAUUUCA